GUUGCGGCAGCAAUGGCGGCGGCAGCAGCGGUGCUGACAUUGGGACAGCGGUGUCAGGACAGCGGUGGCAGCAAGAGCUGUGGGACUGGCUGUGGGUGUGGCACCAUGGCCUUUGCUCUGUGUCUCCUCCUUCUGCUCCUCUUGGCAGUGGCCCUGCCUGACAGGGCUGCCCAGGCUGCUCCAUGGUGAGCACGGCGAGCAGAUGAGGGUGGUAGGAAGGCUUCUCCAGCAGCUUGGCUUCAUGAAGAUUUUCUGCCUCUGGAGCCUCAUGCAGGUGUGUCUGCAGUGAGGACUUUCCCAGCUCCUGGGCUGGUUGCUGCACGCAAAGCCCGGCUCCCAUCACAGGGAGAUGAACCAAAAGGCUGUGCUGAAAGCAGUGUUUCCCGGAGGAAGCAGUGACUCAUGGGCAGCCUCUGCUGCAGGAAGGGAGGCCAUGCCAGGCACAGUCA
Cyanistes caeruleus (blue tit) is the source of this 449-nucleotide RNA transcript. RefSeq lists it as uncharacterized. NCBI's taxonomy places the organism in Eukaryota, Metazoa, Chordata, Aves, Passeriformes, Paridae. The record is from RefSeq and is a predicted model, not a curated record.